CGUGCAGGCGGAUUGGAGAGUUGGAUGUGAAAGCUCCCGGUUUAACUGGGAGAGGUCGUUCAAUACUUCCAGUCUUGAGUGCAGUAGAGGGAAGUGGAAUUCCGGGUGUAGUGGUGAAAUGCGUAGAUAUCCGGAGGAACACCAGUGGCGAAAGCGGCUUCCUGGACUGUAACUGACGCUCAGACGCGAAAGCUAGGGUAAGCAAACG
Molecule: ribosomal RNA, 208 nt
Filed under: uncultured bacterium
Lineage: Bacteria
Description: partial 16S ribosomal RNA
Rfam family: Bacterial small subunit ribosomal RNA
Source: RNAcentral